UGUCGUGCAGGGGAUGCCCAUCGUUUACUGUGAAAAAAUUAGAGUGUUCAAAGCAGGCUUAUGCCGUUGAAUAUAUUAGCAUGGAAUAAUGAUAUAGGACCUUGGUACUAUUUUGUUGGUUUGCGCACUAAGGUAAUGAUUAAGAGGGACAGUUGGGGGUAUUUGUAUUCCAUUGUCAGAGGUGAAAUUCUUGGAUUU
This 198-nucleotide ribosomal RNA is filed under the name uncultured Isochrysis. RNAcentral's name for it is "partial Eukaryotic small subunit ribosomal RNA". It matches the Rfam family "Eukaryotic small subunit ribosomal RNA", at positions 744 to 927 of the family's 1831-position model. Lineage: Eukaryota; Haptophyta; Isochrysidales. The record is from RNAcentral.